Molecule: long non-coding RNA, 882 nt
Organism: Camelina sativa (false flax)
Lineage: Eukaryota; Viridiplantae; Streptophyta; Magnoliopsida; Brassicales; Brassicaceae
Source: RefSeq, a predicted model, not a curated record
UUGAAAUAGAAUCCAAAUAUUGCUGAUAAAAACACGUCAAUUUGUAGGCUAUGGCAGUGAAUGGUAACCUUAUAAAAAGCGUAUUUCAAGAUUUGUUUUUAAAAAUGGGUCUAUGUUACCAUUGACGUGAUUUCACCUAAUAUGCGGUAUUCUACAAAAAAGAAUAAAACACCGUAUGCGUUUUUUUAGGGUGAACAAAAUUCACUGAACCGCAGUAUGUUUUUGAAGAUAGCUAUUAUCCAGCGCACGCCGUUGACAGCUCCUAGACCAAGCAAGCCACCAACUUCGGGCGUAACCUCUCCUUCCCAGAUCUAGCGGGUCCUCAACUCGCCGAACUAGAUCCCUUCGAACCGGCCAAGAAGGAAGUAAGACGCGGCGGUGGUUAGGACCGAUGGCUCAAUCGGAAACCCUAGGCACUCUGAAUCCGCGGCAGCCGGCGAGAUCCAAAAGGAACCACCGUUAACCUUCAAGGCAAAUCAGCAACCCUCCUUCCCCUCCAUCUACUUCCGCCGUAGAUCUAUUUCCGACACGACGGGUGAGCCACGAGAGUUGACAGCUACACCACUCGGCAGCGUCUUCAAACCAGAGGGUCUGUAGCGGCGCUCUCCUGCCGCCACGCCGGUUCUGCAUCUACGUCGAGAAAGGAGAAAACCACACCCUCUACAAACACCUAGCAAUCUGAGGGAAUGAAGAUCAAGGCCUCCGGAAAUCUGAAACGAAGCUUAAAGAAGAGGAGAGAGAAGAGAGGUUUUUCUUUUCCUCGGAACGGUUGUCCCUUCUCGUUAAGAAUUGAUUCAUCAUAUCUUAUGUUUCUUCUUCCAUUCCAACAUUAGCGCUCAUGAGAAGUUAACUACAAAAUCGUUAUCUAAACUAGUUGACUUA